Molecule: unclassified non-coding RNA, 4217 nt
Filed under: Drosophila ananassae
Lineage: Eukaryota; Metazoa; Arthropoda; Insecta; Diptera; Drosophilidae
Description: GF10241
Source: RNAcentral
UCGUGAGCAGGACAUCAAGCGCGGAAGCUGCCAGUUGCCAGCCAGCCUGCCAGCCAGCCAGCCAGCCAGUAGAUAUCCUGUGGCUGUAUCCUGUGCGCUGUCCAAGAAGCCAACCUCUGGCUCCUAACUUUCCCGGCCAAGGUGUGCGCGUGUGUUGGUGUGCGUAUCCGUACCCGUACCCGUGUGCUGGCCAAACAAAGGCCAUAUAGCGAACAAGCCAACUUUCAAGUGGCAGCCAAGUGUCGAAUAUAAACCAAUUAAAGCAGCAGCCGAAUUUUAAAAAUCAAAUCAUUUAAAACAAACGCUUUUUGCAAAAAAUUUCAUAACUUUUUGGGCUGGAAAAGGCAGCUGCAGCCGGCAAUGGCAAUAAUACCGCUUGUGAAUUAUGGCCAAAGUUAAUUAAAAGCCCAAAAAGAACGCCGGGACUUAAGUCCACAACAGGCCAGACAUAAAUCAAUUCGAGGAAACAAAGACGACAACAUGUAGAGCUGUAUUGUGAAUGGCCGAUCCCGAUGUCAAUGCCUGUUUACACGGCCAAUGAAAAAUGGCCAACAAUAUGGCCAAAGCACUGAGUACCUGCAGCACCUGCAGCCUGCACCCAAAAACGAUUCAAAGCGAAAUGACUUAAAGCGGCUUACGAAGAGCGAAGCCAGCCCACACCACGUAUACGCAACGUCCCGCCAGGCGGAUGCGUGAUUAAUUGCACUUUAAACAAACACUAAGCCAGGACUCAAAACAAUCCAAAAGGAACACCGGAAAGCCAUAAGAAAAAGCCGUCAAAAUGUUGCCAACCAACGUGAUGACAUUCAUGAAGAAGAUGGUGGCCACCGACGAACAGACCACCGGAGGGCAGCAGCAUGCAACGGACUCGGGGGCAGGAGCCUCCAACACGGGUGCCUUGAACAAGAUGAAGGCUACGCUGUCCUCGUCGCUGCUCACGGUCACAGACAAAGUUAAUAAAAUGUCGCCACGCCCCUCUCUGGUUCCGACGGAUGCGGACACCAGCGGCAGCUACGGCUCGCCCAGCUAUCAGCAGCAACAGCAGGACUCGGCAGCAGGCGGCACCCUCAACAACAACAACAACAGUGGCACGGCGGCAUCAGCAGCCGGGGGCGGAGGCGGUCCGGCGGCCAAGCAGGAGCCAGGUCGAAGGGCCGGAGCCUGCCGGGUGUGCCUGAAGUCCUUCAAGCCGGACGACUACCACAAGACGUGCUUCGAGUGCCAGCAGCGAGUGUGCGAGGACUGUGCCAGCUACAGUAAGCUGGACGAGCACGAGGAUGCGACCAUGUGGCGGUGCAGUGUGUGCCGGCGGAAGAUGGCCUCGCGGGUCUGCAUUCCGCAGGACUCCACGGACUCGAUGCUGGACGUCCCGGUGCUGGAGGCUCUGCAGCGACGCCACUCGGACGCCAAGCUGGGCAGCAGCACCCAGACCCUUGCCCCCAGCAAUGGCGCUGCCCUCGCACCCCCGCGGAGCCCAGAGCUGCGGCGGCAUUCGGAUGUUUCGCCUGCAUCGCUCAAGGAGUUAGAAAGGCAACUGAAAGGCGGCCGCAGCAUGGCGCCCAGCCGCUCAAACAGCCCGCCACGGGGCGAUGGCCAGGAGCCGCCAUUUGGAGCGCCCCUCUCCCGGAUGCAGUCACGCCGUGGGUCCCGGGUGGCGCGGCAGCACAGCUACGACGACGACAUGAAGACGGGACCUGUGAGCGGAAGCAUGGGCGGUGGAGGUCCGGCCCUGGGCUUGGGGGCAGAUGGAGCGGGUCUGGGCAUUCCGUCUAUGCCACGCAGGAAGUCCGCCUACGAUGUGUUCGCCCCCGGACUGAUGCAGGCCGGAGGAGCGGCACCUGCCACCCAGUUGCAAAGGUCGCCAGGGGAGGGCGGCAUUAUGCCGCCCAUCCAGCUGCCGGGUUCGCGGAGACCGUCUUUCCGGGUGCCACACGCCUCGGAGGACAUACAGAACGAUGACUCGCCGGGUUCGCCGGACAAGGGAAGUCCCGUGCUGACCGUCGACGAGGACCGGAGGAUGCGGCGACGCGGAUCACAGCUGCCCGACAUUGCCAUGCUGCAGAAUCGCGGUGCUCUGCCGUCAGCCCCCGUUGCUUCUAUUCCGCCGCCCAUGGCGGCGUUCACGGGCCCCAAUCUGGAGGAUUUGGAGGCGCCACGGCGCCAAACCUCAAUGGAUGGCGAGGCCAUUCGGAUCGUCAUACACGACGUUGAUUCGGGGCCGAUUUGUGCAUCUAAGCGGCGCAUUAUCCUGCGCCGGGAUCCCACGGACAAGGCGCACCGCACACGUGGCUUUGGAAUGCGCGUCGUCGGUGGAAAAACUGGAGCCGAUGGCAGACUUUUCGCCUAUAUUGUUUGGACGGUCCCGGGCGGAGCGGCCGAGAAGAAUGGCCUGCAGCAGGGCGACAAGAUUCUCGAGUGGAACGGCAUGUCUCUGAUCGACAGGAGCUUCGAGGAGGUCUGCUCCAUCAUGGACCGCACCGGGGACAUUGUGGAGCUUCUGGUGGAGCACGCCACGGACUUCCGCAUGUGCGACCUGUUCGACGAGAACCUGCCCCCGGGCAACGCCGGCGGACAGAGCGGACCCCGACGGUCGGGCGACGGGCCAGUGGGCCUCGGCCUCAUAGCGGAACCCGAAACCACCACAGACAAAUCACCAGCAUCGCCAACUAGACGGAAAUUACCAAAAACUCCGGAGCAAAUUGCCCGCGAGAAGCUGGUCACCGGCCGCGUCCAGAUCCAGGUCUGGUACCACGCCGAGCGGAACGAGCUGGUGGUCUCCCUGAUGGCCGGCGACGACCUGGCCCUGAGGGACGAAGCCUACGGCCACGGAAAUAUGCCGGAGGCCUAUGCCAAGGUCCGAAUUUUGCCCAAGUGUGGUGAUGGCAGCGUGCAACAAACGGAGGUCAGCCGACCCACCCAGAACCCCAUUUGGAACGCCACUUUGACCUUCGCCCAUGUGAAGGCCGACAGCUUGAUGGAUCGCUACAUAGACAUCCAGCUGUGGGACCUGGUGCCCCACACCGAAUCCAUCUUUCUGGGCGAGUGCAGCAUAGAGCUGCAGCAGGCCUUCCUGGACGACCAGGCCAUCUGGUGCCGGCUGGAGGACCCUAAGGGGCUGAGAGGCAUCAGCAUCAGCAAGUCGCCCAGCGUCUCGCCACGGGGAUCCAUCGCCGCCGGGGCCGGAGCUCCGUGUGGUGAUGUGUCCCGGCUGCUGAGACGCGACUACAACAUGCAGCGCUCCAUCUCCGAUGAUGUAGACUCCAUCGGAGAUGGUACCUCGCUGCUGCAUCCCGACCAUGCCUGGAUAGCUGGCUCGCGUCGGGGCUCCUCGCAGUCGGAGACCAUGGAAGUGGAGGUCUACCAGCUGGGCAAGGACUUCUCGCGCUCAUUGCCGGGCUCGCGUCGAUCGAGCUUCCAGGAUGCCGAGAAGAAUCGGCUGGAGGAGGACGCCAUGGCCACGCCGCCCACGUCUUAUUUGGUGGGCAGGCGCCGUUCGUCCGUGGCUCGACGCGAUCCGGAUGAGAUCUUGAAAUCCUUGAAGGCUGUGCGCGGCGAACUGGGCAGGACUAUGAGCCUGGGCACUGAGCAGCACAAGCGCAUGGGUUCGCGACCCACAAUAUCGGUGUCGCAUUAUCAAAGCUUUGACACACCCUACACAAACUGGAACAAACACUAAACUAGCAAAGAAAUGCAAAGUCCCAGCAAAGUCACACAAGAUUUAAUUAAAAGCAAAAUAAAUUCAACUUACGCAUAAAGCACUAAAUAACUAAAAACCACUUAUUUAAAGCCCUCAGAGCACCUAUCUACAUACAUAUAUAGUAUCUCUCAGUAAUCCCUUUGCUUAACCCAAUAAGGGGGAGCCACUCAUUCGUGAGUGAGCCACCAACCACACUGCACCACUAGCAUCAGUUACCACAAUACAGAAUACUGACAAACCAAAAAAAGAAAAAAAUAAAUCCGAAGAACGAAAACCUUUGUAAAUUAUACAAGAAAACCAAGUCAAGAAUCCCAACAAAUUGAGCUUAGCAGGCAAGCGCUUGUGCCAUGGCUAAAUAUUUAUUAAAUAAAGUAAAAUGCAACGAUACUACAACUACAACACUAUAAACUACACCUCCUAAAACUACAUCACCACUCACCACUGGUGCCAGUCGCGUCGGCCUGCCAAGCGGUCCCAACAGCCGUAAGAGCUCUAUCCUCGACCUGUCCCAGCAGCAUCA